RNAcentral lists this ribosomal RNA (339 nucleotides) under uncultured bacterium. RNAcentral describes it as "bacterial SSU rRNA". It matches the Rfam family "Bacterial small subunit ribosomal RNA", at positions 22 to 356 of the family's 1533-position model. The record is from RNAcentral.
GCUCAGGAUGAACGCUGGCGGCGCGCCUAACACAUGCAAGUCGAACGAGAGAUGAGGAGCUUGCUCUUCAAAUCGAGUGGCGAACGGGUGAGUAACGCGUGAGGAACCUGCCUCAAAGAGGGGGACAACAGUUGGAAACGACUGCUAAUACCGCAUAAGCCCACGGCUCGGCAUCGAGCAGAGGGAAAAGGAGUGAUCCGCUUUGAGAUGGCCUCGCGUCCGAUUAGCUAGUUGGUGAGGUAACGGCCCACCAAGGCAACGAUCGGUAGCCGGACUGAGAGGUUGAACGGCCACAUUGGGACUGAGACACGGCCCAGACUCCUACGGGAGGCAGCAGUA